This 446-nucleotide ribosomal RNA is filed under the name uncultured bacterium. RNAcentral's name for it is "partial 16S ribosomal RNA". It matches the Rfam family "Bacterial small subunit ribosomal RNA", at positions 338 to 795 of the family's 1533-position model. The record is from RNAcentral.
CCUACGUGAGUCAGCAGUCGAGAAUCAUUCACAAUGGGGGAAACCCUGAUGGUGCGACGCCGCGUGGGGGAAUGAAGGACUUCGGAUUGUAAACCCCUGUCAUGUGGGAGCAAAUUAAGAAGCUAGUACCACAAGCGGAAGCGACGUCUGACUCUGUGCCAGCAGCCGCGGUAAUACAGAGGUCUCAAGCGUUGUUCGGAAUCACUGGGCGUAAAGCGUGCGUAGGCUGUUUCGUAAGUCGUGUGUGAAAGGCGCGGGCUCAACCCGCGGACGGCACAAGAUACUGCGAGACUAGAGUAAUGGAGGGGGAACCGGAAUUCUCGGUGUAGCAGUGAAAUGCGUAGAUAUCGGGAGGAACACUCGUGGCGAAGGCGGGUUCCUGGACAUUAACUGACGCUGAGGCACGAAGGCCAGGGGAGCGAAAGGGAGUAGAUACCCCAGUAGUC